GAUGAACGCUGGCGGCGUGCCUAAUACAUGCAAGUCGAGCGAACAGACGAGGAGCUUGCUCCUUUGACGUUAGCGGCGGACGGGUGAGUAACACGUGGGUAACCUACCUAUAAGGCUGGGAUAACUUCGGGAAACCGGAGCUAAUACCGGAUAAUAUUUCGAACCGCAUGGUUCGAUAGUGAAAGAUGGCUUUGCUAUCACUUAUAGAUGGACCUGCGCCGUAUUAGCUAGUUGGUAAGGUAACGGCUUACCAAGGCAACGAUACGUAGCCGACCUGAGAGGGUGAUCGGCCACACUGGAACUGAGACACGGUCCAGACUCCUACGGGAGGCAGCAGUAGGGAAUCUUCCGCAAUGGGCGAAAGCCUGACGGAGCAACGCCGCGUGAGUGAUGAAGGUCUUCGGAUCGUAAAACUCUGUUAUUAGGGAAGAACAAACGUGUAAGUAACUGUGCACGUCUUGACGGUAACUAAUCAGAAAGCCACGGCUAACUACGUG
RNAcentral lists this ribosomal RNA (497 nucleotides) under uncultured bacterium. RNAcentral describes it as "partial 16S ribosomal RNA". It matches the Rfam family "Bacterial small subunit ribosomal RNA", at positions 28 to 507 of the family's 1533-position model. The record is from RNAcentral.